Molecule: ribosomal RNA, 460 nt
Filed under: uncultured bacterium
Lineage: Bacteria
Description: partial 16S ribosomal RNA
Rfam family: Bacterial small subunit ribosomal RNA
Source: RNAcentral
CCUACGGGUGGCAGCAGUGAGGAAUAUUGGUCAAUGGGCGCGAGCCUGAACCAGCCAAGUAGCGUGAAGGAUGACUGCCCUACGGGUUGUAAACUUCUUCUAUAAAGGAAUAAAGUGAGGCACGUGUGCCUUUUUGUCUGUAUUUUAUGAAUAAGGAUCGGCUAACUACGCGCCAGCAGCCGCGGUAAUACGGAGGAUCCGAGCGUUAUCCGGAUUUCUUGGGUUUAAAGGGAGCGUAGAUGGGGUGUUAAGUCAGUUGUGAAAGUUUGCGGCUCAACCGUAAAAUUGCAAUUGAUACUGGCAGCCUUGAGUACAGUUGAGGUAAGCGGAAUUCGUGGUGUAGCGGUGAAAUGCUUAGAUAUCACGAAGAACACCGAUUGCGAAGGCAGCCUACUAAACUGCCACUGACAUUGAUGCUCGAAAGUGUGGGUAGCAAACAGGAUUAGAUACCCCUGUAGUC